This 830-nucleotide ribosomal RNA is filed under the name uncultured beta proteobacterium. RNAcentral's name for it is "bacterial SSU rRNA". It matches the Rfam family "Bacterial small subunit ribosomal RNA", at positions 49 to 881 of the family's 1533-position model. Lineage: Bacteria; Pseudomonadati; Pseudomonadota; Betaproteobacteria. The record is from RNAcentral.
UUACCAUGCAGUCGAACGGGUGAGGGAGCAACCCCUUGAGAGUGGCGAACGGGUGAGUAAUGUAUCGGAACGUGCCCAGUCGUGGGGGAUAACGUAGUGAAAAUUACGCUAAUACCGCAUACGAUCUAUGGAUGAAAGCGGGGGAUCGCAAGACCUCGCGCGAUUGGAGCGGCCGAUAUCAGAUUAGGUAGUUGGUGGGGUAAAGGCUCACCAAGCCAACGAUCUGUAGCUGGUCUGAGAGGACGACCAGCCACACUGGAACUGAGACACGGUCCAGACUCCUACGGGAGGCAGCAGUGGGGAAUUUUGGACAAUGGACGCAAGUCUGAUCCAGCCAUUCCGCGUGCAGGACGAAGGCCUUCGGGUUGUAAACUGCUUUUGUACGGAACGAAAAAGCUCUUAUUAAUACUAGGAGUCCAUGACGGUACCGUAAGAAUAAGCACCGGCUAACUACGUGCCAGCAGCCGCGGUAAUACGUAGGGUGCAAGCGUUAAUCGGAAUUACUGGGCGUAAAGCGUGCGCAGGCGGUUAUAUAAGACAGAUGUGAAAUCCCCGAGCUUAACUUGGGAACUGCAUUUGUGACUGUAUAGCUAGAGUACGGCAGAGGGGGAUGGAAUUCCGCGUGUAGCAGUGAAAUGCGUAGAUAUGCGGAGGAACACCGAUGGCGAAGGCAAUCCCCUGGGCCUGUACUGACGCUCAUGCACGAAAGCGUGGGGAGCAAACAGGAUUAGAUACCCUGGUAGUCCACGCCCUAAACGAUGUCAACUGGUUGUUGGGUCUUCACUGACUCAGUAACGAAGCUUACGCGUGAAGUUGACCGCCUGGGGAGU